UUCAACAGCGUCAACAGACAGUCUGCAACGCUAGGUAACGUUAUCUUAGAGAUGGAAUCCAGCAAACGCCCGGCUCCCAGCACAAAAGCUACUCCUACACAAACUCAAGAGUAAGCCAAAAAAAAAAAAAAAAAACAUUUAUCUACUGAAUCCUGUCUGGCUAAGCGGGAACAUGAUCGUGGUCGAGCGAAAACUAGAGUGAACAUUGGCAGGGCAUUUGAUUCCUGGAGGGACCUUCAUUCGGUUUUGGGGAUCAAAACCGAUCCUGAAUUGGCAUUCUUCUUAUUGGACAGAGAUGAAUAGAGACUAUGGCUCCCUGCAUUUGAGGGCAUGAGCACACAGGAUGAAGAUCUGCUGGACCAGGAACUACUGCAGGAAGACCCGGACCACCAGGAGAUGGAGGAUGAGAUGGAACCUGAUCCCCAGCCAAGACCAUCAACUGGAUAAUGGAUCCCCAUUUCCAAGCAGAACCCACUCACCUCGCAUUUGAGAUUCUAGCAUGCUGGACGAGGUGUAAAAAUUUUGUCGGGCUUGCCUCGGACUGGGUAAAGUACUGCAUUAGCACCAUCCUGAUGUCAAUGGAUGGAGUGCGGACAACUCAUUAAAAAUGGAGACCCUGAAAUAGUCACUUGGCCUCUGCCUUCACUGAUAGCACUCAUACUGUUUAGCAAACUCUCUGUGCGCUCAUUGUAUCGAUUGACAACUGCAU
Myxocyprinus asiaticus (Chinese sucker) is the source of this 709-nucleotide long non-coding RNA. RefSeq lists it as uncharacterized. NCBI's taxonomy places the organism in Eukaryota, Metazoa, Chordata, Actinopteri, Cypriniformes, Catostomidae. The record is from RefSeq and is a predicted model, not a curated record. The transcript is spliced from 3 exons.